UCACACAACACACAUUUAAUGAGCAUCUGCUCUCCUGGGUGGUGGGAUAUGAUAGGAAGUAAAAAGACUCGUGGAGUUUAUAUUUUGCUGGGGGCAGAUAGAUUAUAAAGAAAGUAAAUGAGCAGACUGUAUGUUGGAAGGUUAGAGGGUGGUAAGUGCUAUUGAGAAAAAUGAAGCAGUUACUGAGGAGGGUGAGAAUCAGGGAAGGCUUCAGUGAGGUAACAUUUUAACAGGCUUCUUAACAGGAUGAGUGAGCCUGGCAAGUAACUAGGGAACAGCAAGAGCAAAGGUCCUGGGGCACAAAUUUGAAGAAGUGUACAUAGUCCUGUGUGGCUGUAACACAGUGAGUAAUGGGACCUGAAGCCAGAGAGGAAAUGGGAAACCAGAUCUUAUCAGGCCUUGCAGGCCAUUGUAAAGGCUUUGGCUUUUACCCUGAGUGAAACUGAAAAUCUUUAGCGGGUUUUGUAUAAAGAGGUGACAUCAUUGGCCUUCUCAUUUGAAAGAAUCCGUCUACUUGCUUUUGAGAAGAGAUUGUAUUUGGGGCAAGGUUGGAAAUUGGGGGGUCCAGUUAGGAGGUCAUUGCAAUAGUUCAAGCAAGAGAAAAUUGUAUCUUGUUAGUAGUAGAGGUGGUGGGAAGUAUUCUAAAUCUCUAUAUAUUUAAAGGCAGAGUCAACAAGAUUUCCUAACAGAUUGAUGAAGAAUGGAGUUACUAUUUAUAGAAAAGGCAAAGACGGAGAGUAGAAGAGGUUGGGGAGUGGCUAGGGAAGAGUCAAUGAAAACUACAAGAAUUUUCUUUGCACAGGCCCCAAUUUAUAUCCUUGUCUAUUCAUAUUAUUUAUUGUGAUGCUUCCAUUUGGCUUUGGGGAUUUCUUGUUUUAUUCAGUGAUUUGAAGUAGAUGCCUACUGGCACUUGGUUGAACCACUAGAUGUUCUUCUAUAUCUCAAUUGUGUUUUAUUUUCUUUUCAUUCUUUAGUUGAAACAGCCUGAAACUUUUUUGUGUCACAUCUCUGCAGCUGUCCUUUGUCCCAUGGAGUUGGCUAUCAGCCUGGUUCUGCAGUUUGGGUUGUCUGACAUUUUUAUUUGGUGACUUGUACCAAUUGCUUAUUUAGAAUAGGUACAAAUCCUCAUGGGAUUUAGUGUUUGACAGCAAUUGUUGAAGUUGAGUAGUUUGAAUAGCCUAAAGCAGAAAGAUUACAAAAAUAUGACAGAAAUAACAUGAAACUCAGGAAAAAUGGAGUAGAAAUGACUAAACUGCCCUCAUUUUGCGUGAGAGAAAACUUGUGUUUUAGAUAAAACGUAUGAUGUUAGGAGCUGGCCAACUGAAUUCUGUUGGUUUGCACUGCUUCUGCUUUUUAUCCUAAUGGUAUCUCUGGUUUUAUCAAGGAGCUGGAUUUCUAACUUGAUAAAGGAAAUCCAACUUACUUGGAUAAAGCAUAUCCAAGUAAAAAGAAGUGUUUACUCCCUUAUAAAAAAAACAAACAGGCCAGACACAGUGGCACACACCUGUUGUCUUAGCUACUAAGGAGGCUGAAGUAAGAGGAUUAUUUCAGCCCAGGAGCUCAAGCCCAGCCUAGGUAACAAAGUGAGACCCCCAUCUCUAAAAAAACUUAAUUAAUAAAAUAAAAAGAAAAACAAACCUAAUAUUUGGGUUUUUACAUCUUCUUCUGUUUGUUUUGUUUUGUUUUUAUCUGAGUCUGCUUGCUAGGAAAGGUUUUGACAUCUUAAGUGACCUGCUUCAUGGGAGUCAGGCAGUACUUGAUCAAGAAUAGAAUGUAGGCAUCUUUACUUGCAGUUCUGUAUUUCAGACAAUAGGCAAAGUUCUUAUUGUGAGAGAUCCCUAAGCUAUGAAAAUCUGUCCUAUUCCAAGUAGAAUUAAUUACUAAUAUUUAAAGCUAGAAUGAAAGAGAGCAUCUGACCCUACCUCUUCAUUUUAGAGGUCACAAGACUGAGACUCACCUAAAAUUCAGUGACUUACUUAAAAUUCACCACAAUUUUGUGACUAGUAUUUUUUUUUUUUUUUU
Molecule: long non-coding RNA, 2022 nt
Organism: Sapajus apella (tufted capuchin)
Lineage: Eukaryota; Metazoa; Chordata; Mammalia; Primates; Cebidae
Exons: 2
Source: RefSeq, a predicted model, not a curated record